AUACUCAUGUAAUCGCUGCAUAUCUUUAGAAUAUGCAGAGGAAAGUCCAUGCUCGCACAAACUGUGACGUUUGUAGUGUUCGUGCUUGACGAAAUCAUAAGUCAAGGUAACCUUUGGUUAACGGCAGGGGAAGUCUCUAAGUCAUUUUAGAUAUGGGAUGCGAACCUUGAAAGUGCCACAGUGACGGAGUUAGAUUGGAAACAAUCUAAGUGGAACGAGGUAAACCCCACGAGUGAGCAACCCAAAUAAUGGUAGGGGCAUCUUUGAUUAGGUAAACGAACUGAAAAAAGGACAAGUCAAUCACUUGUAGAUAGAUGAUUACAACCCGAGUACAAGGCUGACCACCACUUGGAGUACAACGGUACAGAACAUGGCUUAUCGAG
This 383-nucleotide RNase P RNA is filed under the name Virgibacillus phasianinus. RNAcentral's name for it is "Virgibacillus sp. LM2416 Bacterial RNase P class B". It matches the Rfam family "Bacterial RNase P class B". Rfam says of the family: Ribonuclease P (RNase P) is a ubiquitous endoribonuclease, found in archaea, bacteria and eukarya as well as chloroplasts and mitochondria. Its best characterised activity is the generation of mature 5'-ends of tRNAs by cleaving the 5'-leader elements of precursor-tRNAs. Cellular RNase Ps are ribonucleoproteins. The record is from Rfam by way of RNAcentral. Lineage: Bacteria; Bacillati; Bacillota; Bacilli; Caryophanales; Bacillaceae.